This 505-nucleotide ribosomal RNA is filed under the name uncultured bacterium. RNAcentral's name for it is "partial 16S ribosomal RNA". It matches the Rfam family "Bacterial small subunit ribosomal RNA", at positions 28 to 507 of the family's 1533-position model. The record is from RNAcentral.
GACGAACGCUGGCGGCGUGCCUAAUACAUGCAAGUAGAACGCACAGUUUAUACCGUAGCUUGCUACACCAUAGACUGUGAGUUGCGAACGGGUGAGUAACGCGUAGGUAACCUGCCUGGUAGCGGGGGAUAACUAUUGGAAACGAUAGCUAAUACCGCAUAAUAUUGAUUAUUGCAUGAUAAUUGAUUGAAAGAUGCUAUUGCAUCACUACCAGAUGGACCUGCGUUGUAUUAGCUAGUAGGUGAGGUAACGGCUCACCUAGGCGACGAUACAUAGCCGACCGGAGAGGGUGAUCGGCCACACUGGGACGGAGACACGGCCCAGACUCCUACGGGAGGCAGCAGUAGGGAAUCUUCGGGAAUGGACGAAAGUCUGACCGAGCAACGCCGCGUGAGGGAAGAAGGUUGUCGGAUCGUAAAGCUCUGUUGUAAGAGAAGAACGGGUGUGAGAGUGGAAAGUUCACACUGUGACGGUAUCUUACCAGAAAGGGACGGCUAACUACGUG